GCUGGUCGCAAGCCCGCCCCUACCCGCUAAUCACCUGGCACCGAGCUCGAAGCGGCGCCGAGUCGUUCGCACGCGGAGAGGGAGGGUAGUUAGAGGGCCAUCCUUUUCUGCCGUUAUGGAUUUAAACCCAUAAAGAGGAAACGAGAAACCAGAGGCUCAAAGCUAAGGAAGCUCGCACCUACCGGCUUAACUUCGCACGCCUCUCCAGGAGCCGGGAACCAUCGCCCUUGGGCGCUCCCCGAUGCACGCCGGGAUACGCCUGGCGCCCCUCGGUGUGCUGCAGAGCAUGCCGGGAAAGGCACCUCUCCCGAUCUCCUGGCGCUCACCUCCCGGGCGUUCCUUUCGUGUCCCCUUGAAAGCCCGGUCCUUGGGCUUGGAAUGAGACGGUUUGGGUAAUUAUGGGAGUGUGGCGAGGCUCAUGCCUGCUUUGGUCAGUAGAAUACAGCUGAAGUGAUGUUGUACCAGUUUUGCGUCUGGUCUUUACAAGCACUGGUAGCUUCAACUUUCUCCUUCUUGGUACUCACCCACCAUGUUGUAAGGAAACCCAAACAGCCACGUGGAAGACAGUUCUAGUUGAGCUCCCAGCCCAGAGCCUAUCCCAACUCUCCAGCCAUACCCUGACUUCCUUCAGCAAAGAGACAGCUUCUGAUUCAUGUUCGUCUCACCAUAAUAUACUUCCAAAAGUUACACUAGAUGUUAACUGAGCACUAAGGACACUACGUGAAAGACUGGAGUACAAACAUCCAAAGGACUGAAGAAUUUGAAGAGCACUGAAUGUGGGAGAUAGGACAGAGGAAAGGAGUCAAAUGUCUCCAAGAAACGAAGCCUGUGUGCCCUGGAGAAUGAAGAAGCAUCAUCAAAUCGGGGAGACUGAAGGAGGAAUCGGUUUUCAGAGAAAAACAAUUUAUAUUGUCUUAGCUGUGUUAGGUGGCAUACUAUUACAUUCAAGUGAAGCUGUGUAAUAGACAGAGAUGACAAAUUUUAUUCAUUUAUGAAUGCCCCCCAAAAUAUAUAUAUAGUUUUUGCCCUCAUGUCUCUUAUUGGGAUGACAGACAUAAAUCAAAGAAUUCCAUAAAUAAAUAUUAAAAUACAAUUUGUGAUAAAUGCUACAAA
This 1113-nucleotide long non-coding RNA is filed under the name Homo sapiens (human). RNAcentral's name for it is "novel transcript". Lineage: Eukaryota; Metazoa; Chordata; Mammalia; Primates; Hominidae. The record is from RNAcentral.